UCCUUCUUUUUUAUACCCAACAGCAAUCCUGAGGCUUAUUCACUUUUCCAGGCAGUUUUUCUCUUUUCCAAAAGGUCAUGAAGGAUUGUGACCUCUUUCUUUAAUGGCUGCUACACCUUCUAUGGAUCCUGUGCUCUAAAGCUACCACGUGCUUUUUAAAGUUCCCGCCA
Long non-coding RNA from Amphimedon queenslandica, 170 nucleotides. RefSeq lists it as uncharacterized. The record is from RefSeq and is a predicted model, not a curated record. The transcript is spliced from 2 exons. Lineage: Eukaryota; Metazoa; Porifera; Demospongiae; Haplosclerida; Niphatidae.